AGGACGAACGCUGGCGGCGUGCUUAACACAUGCAAGUCGAGCGGAAAGGCCCUUCGGGGUACUCGAGCGGCGAACGGGUGAGUAACACGUGAGUAACCUGCCCCUAGCUCUGGGAUAGCUCCGGGAAACCGGGAUUAAUACCAGAUACGACCACUUUAGACAUCUGUCGUGGUGGAAAGGAUUCCGGCUAGGGAUGGGCUCGCGGCCUAUCAGCUUGUUGGUGGGGUAACGGCCUACCAAGGCGACGACGGGUAG
Molecule: ribosomal RNA, 255 nt
Filed under: uncultured bacterium
Lineage: Bacteria
Description: partial small subunit ribosomal RNA
Rfam family: Bacterial small subunit ribosomal RNA
Source: RNAcentral